This 210-nucleotide long non-coding RNA is filed under the name Lathyrus oleraceus (garden pea). RNAcentral describes it as "Pisum sativum (pea) long non-coding RNA (PSAT_LNC041469)". Lineage: Eukaryota; Viridiplantae; Streptophyta; Magnoliopsida; Fabales; Fabaceae. The record is from RNAcentral.
GGGCUCAGGCAGUUUGAACACUGGUGAAAUGACAUUCACCUCAGGCUCAACUUCAUCAACAUUGAGAUUUUGCAGAAUCUCAAUGGUACCCUCAUUCAACAACUUCUGAAGCUCUUUGCGGACUUGAUCGCAACCCCAGCGAUUAACCGAACAGACGCGGCACUUGUCAUGGUUAUGCUCCAAGUAGCUGUACUGACACAGCGUACGGUG